Molecule: non-coding RNA, 412 nt
Organism: Dipodomys spectabilis (banner-tailed kangaroo rat)
Lineage: Eukaryota; Metazoa; Chordata; Mammalia; Rodentia; Heteromyidae
Source: the annotation of a RefSeq genome assembly
UCAGUCCCAGUCAGCACACAGCAUGGACAUGAGGACCACUGCUCAGCUCCUGGGGCUCCUGCUGCUCUGCCUUCCAGGUGCCAGAUGUGACAUCCAGAUCACCCAGUCUCCAUCCUCCCUGUCUGCAUCUCCAGGAGACACUGUCACCAUCUCCUGCAAAGCCAGUCAGGGUAUUAGCAAUAAUUUAAACUGGUAUCAGCAGAAACCAGAAAAAGCCCCAAAGCCUCUGAUCAUUUACACCUCAAAGUUGGCCUCUGGGGUCCCAUCCAGAUUCAGUAGCAGUGGAUCUGGGACAGAUUAUUCUCUCACCAUCAGCAGCCUUCAACCUGAAGAUUUUGCCACUUAUUACUGUGAGCAGUACGAUAAGUUUCCAUGGCUGGCAGGGCCAGAGAGGGCCUUAGCAUUUCUUUAG